UCCCUGGAGGACUAGUGGCUAGGCCACAGCGCUCUCACUGCUGCGGCCUGGGUUCGAUACCUGGCCAGGGAA
Molecule: transfer RNA, 72 nt
Filed under: Pangasianodon gigas (Mekong giant catfish)
Lineage: Eukaryota; Metazoa; Chordata; Actinopteri; Siluriformes; Pangasiidae
Description: tRNA-Glu
Rfam family: tRNA
About the family: Transfer RNA (tRNA) molecules are approximately 80 nucleotides in length. Their secondary structure includes four short double-helical elements and three loops (D, anti-codon, and T loops).
Source: RNAcentral